This 1622-nucleotide ribosomal RNA is filed under the name Salmonella enterica. RNAcentral describes it as "partial 23S ribosomal RNA". It matches the Rfam family "Bacterial large subunit ribosomal RNA", at positions 1200 to 2803 of the family's 2925-position model. RNAcentral also lists the same sequence under 1 other name. Lineage: Bacteria; Pseudomonadati; Pseudomonadota; Gammaproteobacteria; Enterobacterales; Enterobacteriaceae. The record is from RNAcentral.
CUGCGGCAGCGACGCUUAUGCGUUGUUGGGUAGGGGAGCGUUCUGUAAGCCUGCGAAGGUGGCCUGUGAGGGUUGCUGGAGGUAUCAGAAGUGCGAAUGCUGACAUAAGUAACGAUAAAGCGGGUGAAAAGCCCGCUCGCCGGAAGACCAAGGGUUCCUGUCCAACGUUAAUCGGGGCAGGGUGAGUCGACCCCUAAGGCGAGGCCGAAAGGCGUAGUCGAUGGGAAACGGGUUAAUAUUCCCGUACUUGGUGUUACUGCGAAGGGGGGACGGAGAAGGCUAUGUUGGCCGGGCGACGGUUGUCCCGGUUUAAGCGUGUAGGUGUGUGUUCCAGGUAAAUCCGGUUCACUUUAACACUGAGGCGUGACGACGAGGCACUACGGUGCUGAAGCAACAAAUGCCCUGCUUCCAGGAAAAGCCUCUAAGCAUCAGGUAACAUCAAAUCGUACCCCAAACCGACACAGGUGGUCAGGUAGAGAAUACCAAGGCGCUUGAGAGAACUCGGGUGAAGGAACUAGGCAAAAUGGUGCCGUAACUUCGGGAGAAGGCACGCUGACACGUAGGUGAAGUGAUUUACUCAUGGAGCUGAAGUCAGUCGAAGAUACCAGCUGGCUGCAACUGUUUAUUAAAAACACAGCACUGUGCAAACACGAAAGUGGACGUAUACGGUGUGACGCCUGCCCGGUGCCGGAAGGUUAAUUGAUGGGGUCAGCGCAAGCGAAGCUCCUGAUCGAAGCCCCGGUAAACGGCGGCCGUAACUAUAACGGUCCUAAGGUAGCGAAAUUCCUUGUCGGGUAAGUUCCGACCUGCACGAAUGGCGUAAUGAUGGCCAGGCUGUCUCCACCCGAGACUCAGUGAAAUUGAACUCGCUGUGAAGAUGCAGUGUACCCGCGGCAAGACGGAAAGACCCCGUGAACCUUUACUAUAGCUUGACACUGAACAUUGAGCCUUGAUGUGUAGGAUAGGUGGGAGGCUUUGAAGUGUGGACGCCAGUCUGCAUGGAGCCGACCUUGAAAUACCACCCUUUAAUGUUUGAUGUUCUAACGUGGACCCGUUACCCGGGUUGCGGACAGUGUCUGGUGGGUAGUUUGACUGGGGCGGUCUCCUCCUAAAGAGUAACGGAGGAGCACGAAGGUUGGCUAAUCCUGGUCGGACAUCAGGAGGUUAGUGCAAUGGCAUAAGCCAGCUUGACUGCGAGCGUGACGGCGCGAGCAGGUGCGAAAGCAGGUCAUAGUGAUCCGGUGGUUCUGAAUGGAAGGGCCAUCGCUCAACGGAUAAAAGGUACUCCGGGGAUAACAGGCUGAUACCGCCCAAGAGUUCAUAUCGACGGCGGUGUUUGGCACCUCGAUGUCGGCUCAUCACAUCCUGGGGCUGAAGUAGGUCCCAAGGGUAUGGCUGUUCGCCAUUUAAAGUGGUACGCGAGCUGGGUUUAGAACGUCGUGAGACAGUUCGGUCCCUAUCUGCCGUGGGCGCUGGAGAACUGAGGGGGGCUGCUCCUAGUACGAGAGGACCGGAGUGGACGCAUCACUGGUGUUCGGGUUGUCAUGCCAAUGGCACUGCCCGGUAGCUAAAUGCGGAAGAGAUAAGUGCUGAAAGCAUCUAAGCACGAAACUUGCCCCGAG